GACGAACGCUGGCGGCGUGCUUAACACAUGCAAGUCGUACGGUAAGGCCCUUGCGGGGGUACACGAGUGGCGCACGGGGGAGUAACACGUGAGUAACCUGCCCACAACUUUGGGAUAACGCUAGGAAACUGGUGCUAAUACUGGAUAUGUGCUCCUGCUGCAUGGUGGGGGUUGGAAAGCUCCGGCGGUUGUGGAUGGACUCGCGGCCUAUCAGCUUGUUGGUGGGGUAGUGGCCUACCAAGGCGGCGACGGGUAGCCGGCCUGAGAGGGUGACCGGCCACACUGGGACUGAGAUACGGCCCAGGCGCCUACGGGAGGCAGCAGUGGGGAAGAUUGAACCAUGGGCGCCAGCCUGAUGCAGCAACGCCGCGUGCGGGAUGACGGCCUUCGGGUUGUCAACCGCUUUCAGCAGGGACGAAGCUUUUUGUGACGGUACCUUCAGAAGAAGCACCGGCUAACUACGUG
Molecule: ribosomal RNA, 465 nt
Filed under: uncultured bacterium
Lineage: Bacteria
Description: partial 16S ribosomal RNA
Rfam family: Bacterial small subunit ribosomal RNA
Source: RNAcentral